This is a long non-coding RNA of Homo sapiens (human), 2519 nucleotides long. Ensembl annotates it as LMCD1 antisense RNA 1. Its record names the gene LMCD1-AS1. NCBI's taxonomy places the organism in Eukaryota, Metazoa, Chordata, Mammalia, Primates, Hominidae. The record is from Ensembl.
AGCUGAGCGCCGGCUGCCCUGACGUCAGCAUGGCCGCGGCCCCUGACUACCCAGCUCCCUUCUAUCCCUCGAGCGGCAGGAAUCCGUCCCCACGCCCUUUUCCUUUAAAGGGCAACGGGCCGAAGGUGGGGCGGGCGGCGCGGCUCCCGCGAUCCAUUCAGGUCAAAAGGGAGAGUGAUCAAACAGGAGAGCCGAGGGGACCUAUAUUCAGAGACUUAACCGGACACCUGGACAGACCAUUACAACUUGGGACUUUUCAGGAGAAUGAGGGAAAUGUAGUUAUUGCACCUGAGCCUCACUCCAGCUCUGAGGUCCUCUUCACUUCUCUUUGGAAGAAAAUUGGAUAUCUUUUCCUAGUUGAAAGAGUAGAGAUCUGAUUUCUCCAAGGAUCAUCGCUUUUUGACACGGGAUUAUUAGAAGCAUUCAUUCAUCUAUCAAGGAGUUUUGGGAUACUUGCCAUAAGCCAAGCCCUCUGAUAGGUGCUGGAAACAUCAAGCUCUGUGCCCAGGAAGUUCAUCCUUGGACUGCACGCAUGAACGAGUUUGCUGUCUUCCCAUUGGAUUCAGCCAGUCCGCGGUCCUGGAAGAAGAAAUACUUUCCCAGACAAAUAAAAGCUGAGGAAUAUCAUCAACAUCAGACCUGUCUUACAAAAAAUGCUAAAGGGAGUUCUUCAAUCCAAAAGAAAAAGAUGUUAAUGAGCAAAAAUAAAUCAUCUGAAGGUGCAAAACUUGCUGGUAAUUGUAAGUACAAAGAAAACACAGAAUAUUAUAACACUGUAACUUACAUGCUGUGGUGUGUAAACUACUCAUAUGUUAAGUAAAAAGACUAAAAUAUAAAUCAAUUAAAAUAAUAAUUGCAACAACUUUUCAAGACAUAGACAGUACAAUAAGAUACAAAUAGGAACAACAAAAUGUUAAAAAGCAGGUUGACACAGUUAAGGUGUAAAGGUUUUAUUAGUUUUCCCUUUGCUUCUUUGUUUAUGCAAUCAGUGUUUAGUUGUCAACAGUUUAAAAUAAUGGUUAUAAGAUAUUGUUUGCAAAUCUCAUGGUGACCUCAAAUCAAAAACAUACAACAGAUACAUGAAAAAUAAAAAGGAAGAAAUUAAAACAUACCACUGGAGAAAAUCACCUUUACUAACAGAAAGACAGGAAGGAAGGAAAGAAGGAAGAGAAGACCACAAAACAACCAGAAAACUCACAAUAAAAUGGCAGGAUUAAGUCUUUAUUUAUCAACAAUAACAUUGAAUGUAAGUGGAUUAAACUCUCUGAUCAAAAGACAUAGAGUGGCUAAAUGUAUAACAAAACAAGACUCAAUAAUCUGUGGCCUACAAGAAACACACUUCACCUAUAAAAACACAUAUAGAUUAAAAAUAAAGGGAUAGAGAAAGAUAUUCCAUGGAAACAGAAACGAAAAAGAAGCAGGAGUAUCUAUACUUGUGUCAGACAAAAUAGAUUUCAAGACAAAAACUGUUAAAAAAGAUAAGAAAGCUCAUUAUAUAAUGAUAAAGUAGUCAAUUCCUCAAGGAGGCAUAACAAUUGUAAAUAUAUAUGCAUCCAACACUGGAACACCCAGAUAUAUAAAGCAAAUAUUAUUAAAGAAAGAGAUAGACCUCAGUAUAAUAAUACCUGGACAUCCAGUAUAAUAAUACAUCCAGUAUAUAUAUAUGCAUCCAACACUGGAACACCCCAGAUCAUCCAGAUCUAAAAUCAAGAAAUAAACAUUGGACUUAAUCAGCAUUAUGGAUGAAAUGGACCUAAAAGAUAUUUAUAGAACAUUUCAUCCAACAGCUGCAACAUAUACAUUCCUUUCCUCAGCACAUAAAUCCUUCUCAAUAAUAGACAAUAUGUUUGGCUACAAAAUAAGUUGCAAAGAUUUAAAAAAUGAAAUUAUAUUAGAAUCUUUUCUUACUACAAUGGAGUAAAACUAGAAAUCAAUAACCAGAGAAAUUUUGGAAACUAUACAAACACUUUAAAUAAUAUGCUCUGGAAUAACCAGUGGGUCAAUAAAGAAAUUAAGAAGGAGAUUUAAACAUUUCUUGAGACAAAUAAUAAUGGUAACAAAACAUACAAAAAUGUAUGGGAUAUAGUAAAAAUAGUACUAAGAGGAAUGUUUAUAGCUAUAAACAUCUACAUCAGAAAAGUAGAAAAACUUCAAGUAGACAACCUAACAAUGGAUCUUAAAGAAAUAGAAAACCAAGAGCAAACCAAACCCAAAAUUAAUGGAGGAAAACAAAUAAUAAAUAUCAAAGCAGAUAUAAAUGAAAUUGAAACAAAGGAAACAACCCGAAUAAUCAACAAAAUGAAAAGUUUUUUACAAAGAUAAUAAAAAUCCACAAAACUUUAGUCAGACUAAUUAAGAAAAAAAGAGACAAGACCCAAAUAAAUAAAAUCAGAGAUUUUAAAAAAAGGAGACACAUUACUACGGAUACUGCCAAAAUUCAAAGUAUCAUUAGAGGCUACUAUGAGCAACUAUAUGCCAAUAAAUUGGAAAACCUAGAAGAAAUUGAUAAAUUCUUAGAC